GCAUGGGUGGCGGAGUGGUCAAUCGCACUUGGCUGUAAACCAAGCGCCCUAUGGGCUUCGGGGGUUCGAAUCCCUCCCCAUGCACAA
RNAcentral lists this transfer RNA (87 nucleotides) under Candidatus Niyogibacteria bacterium RIFCSPHIGHO2_01_FULL_45_28. Its description in RNAcentral is "tRNA-Tyr". It matches the Rfam family "tRNA". From Rfam's summary of the family: Transfer RNA (tRNA) molecules are approximately 80 nucleotides in length. Their secondary structure includes four short double-helical elements and three loops (D, anti-codon, and T loops). Lineage: Bacteria; Candidatus Niyogiibacteriota. The record is from RNAcentral. RNAcentral also lists the same sequence under 2 other names.